Micropterus dolomieu (smallmouth bass) is the source of this 822-nucleotide long non-coding RNA. RefSeq lists it as uncharacterized. The transcript is spliced from 3 exons. The record is from RefSeq and is a predicted model, not a curated record. Lineage: Eukaryota; Metazoa; Chordata; Actinopteri; Centrarchiformes; Centrarchidae.
UUGUCGUGUUUAGCCCGCCCUGCUCGUCGUGCUCUUCUUGUCAUUCCUUUGAUUUUGGAUUUCUGUUUGGAUCACCUUGUUUUUGGACUCUGUUAAUCGACCACUCUGCCAUUAAGUGUGCUCGCCUUUUGUUUGUUGGUUUAAUAAGUCUCCUGAACUGAACCUGCCAGCCGCGUGUCCUGCACCUUCUCCACACCACAAACCCUGACAACAGUCCUGUAUAGUGUUAUACCAACAGGUUUUCCUUUUGAUUUGCCCAUAACAUUUAUAUCAAUGAAGCUGGCUUAAGAGAAAAGAGAUCAGCGGGACGACGAUCAAGCAGACUUUCCAUGACUCUUCAUGAUGAGACGAGCGUUUCCUGCCGGGGUCAGAGCAGCGACCAGACGAGACAGCUUCCACGCAUGUCAUGAAUGUUUGUGCUCACGACAUCGAAGCUGGUCUCCGGCCAAAGUAAAGAUCUUUCCGUGUUGAUCUGAAUUCCGUCUAACAAGAUUUCAUGCCGGCUGUUACUUCAGUGUCAGACUGAUGCGACCCUCCUGCUCCUGCUCCUUCCACUUCCACAUCACAUUCAUCCAGAUCUUCAGCCAUUGCUCUUCAGCCCUUCACCCCCCACACCAGUGUCUGGACUCCAUUGGGGUGGAUCUUCCUGCACAGCUCACGGCAUUAAAAUAAUGAAGCCACGAUGGGGUCUAAUUGCCAGACUCUUCUCAUAUUUCUUCAACUUUCCUCUUAAUUUAAUUACUCUUAAGCUUCUUUUUCAAUUAAAGUCUCUCCUGAUUGAAAUAUCUUUGUUCUUCUGCUCCAACAGCUGCAGCCUGUAGA